UUUGAAUCAUUAGAUGACCGUAGAUUUUUUGAAAUUACUGACUUGUCUUUGGAUGAAUCAGACUUAAAGGCUAGUUUUCUUAAUGUAGAAUGACUAUGAUAUGAUUUGUCUCAUUUUAUUUUGGUGAAUUUAUGUCUUUUUUUCGAUUGAUUGAAAGUACUAAAUUUAAACUAAACAUUUGUUUAAAAAAAGUUUAAAUAAAUAUAAAUUUUGUUUCUCA
This 220-nucleotide long non-coding RNA is filed under the name Lathyrus oleraceus (garden pea). RNAcentral describes it as "Pisum sativum (pea) long non-coding RNA (PSAT_LNC030502)". Lineage: Eukaryota; Viridiplantae; Streptophyta; Magnoliopsida; Fabales; Fabaceae. The record is from RNAcentral.